UGGGCAACCUGCCCCUAGCUCUGGGAUAACUCCGGGAAACCGGGGCUAAUACCGGAUAUGACCACGGUGGACAUCCACUGUGGUGGAAAGCUCCGACGGCUAGGGAUGGGCCCGCGGCCUAUCAGCUUGUUGGUGGGGUAACGGCCCACCAAGGCGACGACGGGUAGCCGGCCUGAGAGGGCGACCGGCCACACUGGGACUGAGACACGGCCCAGACUCCUACGGGAGGCA
RNAcentral lists this ribosomal RNA (231 nucleotides) under uncultured bacterium. RNAcentral describes it as "partial 16S ribosomal RNA". It matches the Rfam family "Bacterial small subunit ribosomal RNA", at positions 118 to 350 of the family's 1533-position model. The record is from RNAcentral.